CCUACGGGAGGCUGCAGUGGGGAAUAUUGGACAAUGGGCGAAAGCCUGAUCCAGCCAUGCCGCGUGUGUGAAGAAGGCCUUCGGGUUGGAAAGCACUUUCAGUGGGGAAGAAAGCCUUGGGGCUAAUACCCUCGAGGAAGGACAGCACCCACAGAAGAAGCACCGGCUAACUCCGUGCCAGCAGCCGCGGUAAUACGGAGGGUGCGAGCGUUAAUCGGAAUUACUGGGCGUAAAGCGCGCGUAGGCGGUCUGAUAAGCCGGUUGUGAAAGCCCCGGGCUCAACCUGGGAACGGCAUCCGGAACUGUCAGGCUAGAGUGCAGGAGAGGAAGCUAGAAUUCCCGGUGUAGCGGUGAAAUGCGUAGAGAUCGGGAGGAAUACCAGUGGCGAAGGCGGUCUUCUGGACUGACACUGACGCUGAGGUGCGAAAGCGUGGGUAGCAAACAGGAUUAGAUACCCGUGUAGUC
RNAcentral lists this ribosomal RNA (465 nucleotides) under Vreelandella stevensii. Its description in RNAcentral is "partial 16S ribosomal RNA". It matches the Rfam family "Bacterial small subunit ribosomal RNA", at positions 338 to 795 of the family's 1533-position model. The record is from RNAcentral. Lineage: Bacteria; Pseudomonadati; Pseudomonadota; Gammaproteobacteria; Oceanospirillales; Halomonadaceae.